RNAcentral lists this unclassified non-coding RNA (229 nucleotides) under Glomus sp. Its description in RNAcentral is "partial internal transcribed spacer 2". Lineage: Eukaryota; Fungi; Glomeromycota; Glomeromycetes; Glomerales; Glomeraceae. The record is from RNAcentral.
GUGAAUCAACGAAUUUUUGAACGCAAAUUGCACUCUCUGCGUAGAAUAUGCCUGUUUUAGUUUCAGGCUAAGAAAAAUCGAAAUAGGUGGUGGUUCGCGCUUUUAGUGGUCGGGAAUUGGGUCAUCGUAGACUUUUCUGUGUUUAGGUGAUUUAAAUUUUCUUUUGGAUUUCACGAACGUUUCUAAGUGUUUAUUUCUUACACUGUUAAUGGAUCUAUCUUUAUUAGAC